GGAUUAGAUACCCUGGUAGUCCACGCCGUAAACGAUGGUCACUCGAUGUACAACUUUUUGAAGUGUGUGUCUAAGCGAAAGCGUUAAGUGACCCACCUGGGGAGUACGCUCGCAAGAGUGAAACUUAAAGGAAUUGACGGGGAUCCGCACAAGCGGUGGGGCAUGUGGUUUAAUUCGACAGUCCGCGAAGAACCUUACCUAGAUUAAAUGUAUAUUGACAUACUGAAAAAUCAGUAUUUCCGCAAGGACAAUAUGCAAGGUGUUGCAUGGCCGUCGUCAGCUCGUGUCG
Molecule: ribosomal RNA, 289 nt
Filed under: uncultured bacterium
Lineage: Bacteria
Description: partial 16S ribosomal RNA
Rfam family: Bacterial small subunit ribosomal RNA
Source: RNAcentral